CAGAGAUUUGAUAAUGUUUGUAAAACCAGUCUGACCGGUUUGUGGACCGGUUCGCUCAUAUUCAGAUAGCAAACUCCUAUGAUACCAAUUUCGGUCUCGAACACUAACAAAAUAUGAAGGCACGACAAUGUCAGAUUGGUAAGAAGGAAGAAUAUGUCGCUAUGGAAGCUUAUGUCUUGGAAUGAAAUUGAAGCACGCAGAAAUUAUGCAUCGACUAAAUGUAGAAUAAAGUUAAGAAACUUAGAGAAGUCAAAAAAUUAUCGUAAUGUCAUUUUGAUUUAGGUGGAUUUUUUUAAGUUUGAUCCGGAACUGGAGCGAUGGAGCACAACCUCGAGCUCAAACCAACACCAUCCAUCUUCUACACCUCCGCACCUCUACGUCAAUACUCCUGUCGAUGGCGCGAGACCAGACCAAGUUAGAGUUGCGGGCAACAAUGAGAAUUGGGAAUUUUUCAUCAUGUCAUCAAUAAAAAUUUGCAUGGCAGUUUAUUUUCACCCUCCCCUUCAUGCAAAUACCAGGCAUACACUCUUC
RNAcentral lists this long non-coding RNA (531 nucleotides) under Setaria viridis. RNAcentral's name for it is "long non-coding RNA (SVIR_LNC005878)". The record is from RNAcentral. Lineage: Eukaryota; Viridiplantae; Streptophyta; Magnoliopsida; Poales; Poaceae.